UGAGUAACCUGCCCUUAACUCUGGGAUAAGCCUGGGAAACUGGGUCUAAUACCGGAUAUGACUCCUCAUCGCAUGGUGGGGGUGGAAAGCUUUUUGUGGUUUUGGAUGGACUCGCGGCCUAUCAGCUUGUUGGUGAGGGUAAA
RNAcentral lists this ribosomal RNA (143 nucleotides) under uncultured bacterium. RNAcentral's name for it is "partial 16S ribosomal RNA". It matches the Rfam family "Bacterial small subunit ribosomal RNA", at positions 118 to 262 of the family's 1533-position model. The record is from RNAcentral.